RNAcentral lists this ribosomal RNA (451 nucleotides) under uncultured Streptococcus sp. RNAcentral's name for it is "bacterial SSU rRNA". It matches the Rfam family "Bacterial small subunit ribosomal RNA", at positions 930 to 1382 of the family's 1533-position model. The record is from RNAcentral. Lineage: Bacteria; Bacillati; Bacillota; Bacilli; Lactobacillales; Streptococcaceae.
CGGUGGAGCAUGUGGUUUAAUUCGAAGCAACGCGAAGAACCUUACCAGGUCUUGACAUCCCGAUGCUAUUUCUAGAGAUAGAAAGUUACUUCGGUACAUCGGUGACAGGUGGUGCAUGGUUGUCGUCAGCUCGUGUCGUGAGAUGUUGGGUUAAGUCCCGCAACGAGCGCAACCCCUAUUGUUAGUUGCCAUCAUUCAGUUGGGCACUCUAGCGAGACUGCCGGUAAUAAACCGGAGGAAGGUGGGAUGACGUCAAAUCAUCAUGCCCCUUAUGACCUGGGCUACACACGUGCUACAAUGGUUGGUACAACGAGUUGCGAGUCGGUGACGGCGAGCUAAUCUCUUAAAGCCAAUCUCAGUUCGGAUUGUAGGCUGCAACUCGCCUACAUGAAGUCGGAAUCGCUAGUAAUCGCAGAUCAGCAACGCUGCGGUGAAUACGUUCCCGGGCCUU